RNAcentral lists this ribosomal RNA (602 nucleotides) under bacterium. RNAcentral's name for it is "bacterial SSU rRNA". It matches the Rfam family "Bacterial small subunit ribosomal RNA", at positions 872 to 1452 of the family's 1533-position model. The record is from RNAcentral.
CCUGGGGGAGUACGGCCCGCAAGGGUUUAAAAACUCAAAAUUGAAAUUGACGGGGGCCCGCACAAAGCGGGUGGGAGCAUUGUGGGUUUAAAUUUCGAUGCAACGCGAAGAAACCUUACCUACUCUUGACAUCCCAGAGAAACUUAGCAGAGAUGCUUUUGGUGGCCUUCGGGAAACUCUGAGAACAGGUGCUGCAUGGCUGUCGUCAGCUCGUGUUUGUGAAAUGUUGGGUUAAGUCCCGCAACGAGCGCAACCCUUAUCCUUUGUUGCCAGCGGUCCGGCCGGGAACUCAAAGGAGACUGCCAGUGAUAAACUGGAGGAAGGUGGGGAUGACGUCAAGUCAUCAUGGCCCUUACGAGUAGGGCUACACACGUGCUACAAUGGCAUAUACAAAGAGAAGCGACCUCGCGAGAGCAAGCGGACCUCAUAAAGUAUGUCGUAGUCCGGAUUGGAGUCUGCAACUCGACUCCAUGAAGUCGGAAUCGCUAGUAAUCGUAGAUCAGAAUGCUACGGUGAAUACGUUCCCGGGCCUUGUACACACCGCCCGUCACACCAUGGGAGUGGGUGCAAAAGAAGUAGGUAGCUUAACCUUCGGGAGGGCG